UGGAACCAUAAUUGCAUUAGCCUCAGGAGAUGUCCUCCUUUUGGAUUGCUUCCAGUGUGCUGAAAAUCCAGCCUUCUUUUCGAAGACUUUACUACAUAUAAAACAAACUAAACAUCCUCUCUUCUGCUAAUGUACAGCUUCUGGCUUCCUCAAGAAUAAAGCACCCCAGAAAGUAGGGAGAACAUAGCUGGAAGAAAGAUCAAUAUCUUCUACAAAAGGUUUGCAAACACAGAUGCAGCAGGAUCAUCACUUUGUGUGAGCAGAGAAAGAAGCAUUGUUCCUGAUUACAGCUCUGAUGAUUCAAAGGAUGCGGUCUCAUAAUUAGAGUCUGCCAAAGCCAGGAGAAGCCUGAGGAGGAAACUGGCUGAUUUGUCAGGAGAAAGACAGACUUUGCUCAGAUGUGACUUGGCUUUGGAUCCUGUGGACACAUACUUUAACAGCCAUGUGGAGAGCUCAUCUGCAGCACUGGAUCGUGUAUUUUGUUCAGUUACUUGUACAGCUCCACCAUGCCAGUCUGUGUCUAUAGAGUCCUUCACCCAACAGAGCCACGCUCCGUGCUCCUCUCUCAAAUGGAAUUAAAAAUAUGCAAAGAUAAGUAGUAGUAUAGAGCACUACAGGCAGAUGAUGAUGGUCUUCUGUGUAGUCCAACAGCCUAAAGAUCCUCCUGCCCAUUACAUAUUAAUCUGUUGCUCUUUGAAAGAGCAUACUGCUCCGGGAAAGCCCUUUGGAGAGCCUCAUUUGUUGGUCCAGCAUUGCACCACUAAACUUUGUCCUGUAUUUAACAUUGCAGUUUCUGAAGAAAAGGUGUUUGUUUUCUCCUCUGAGCCUUGCUUAGUGAUUUGGGUUUUUUUGUGUUUGGGGGGGUUGUGUUGGUUUUUUUUUCUUUCUUUUUGUGUGUCUAUGACAGGGAUGAGGGAGAAGUGGCUGCUUCCAUUUACUUAUCUUUUUAUUUUAGUGUAACUCAUCACUUUUUCGAUGAUGCCUGGACUAAUCUUUAUGAUGCCUGUAAGGCAUGCCAUAGUUUGGAAGAGCAUUUCAGCAAUAUAAUUCAAACAUAACGUACCAAAAGAGUGGCCAGGCAGCUGCAUUUAAUAUUGCCAAAAAGAUCAUCACAAAUGUGCCUAUUGAUAUUUUAACCCACGGAGUGGUACAGCUGACAGUUGUGGAGUGCAUCCACCAUCCGGAAUCCUCUUUCUUUAUUUUUCUCGAGAAUCAAAGCUCUUUUGGAUUGCUAAGAGGCAGUCUUGUUUCCUGUGCUGUUCAAUCUUCAAGCAAACGAUAUUUUUCAUCAACAAUGACACAUCAGCACCAAGUUACCUUCAAGAAGGUCAGUGGGGAAAAAAAAAAUAUUUUAAAUUAUGAUAGUUGGCUCUGAAAUACACUUGCAUAUUCUUUUUAUUGGCAUAGUCACCUGCCCCUGAACAGUCUCGCUGUGCCCAGCAGUUCAGAAGACCGACAUGCAAAAUAAACUCAAUUAUUAUAUUAGCAGCUGUUCAUGUUAAGUCACAACAGAGUUUCCUACUAAACCUUUAAUAUUUUACAGGCAUUUUUGGCCAUGUGGUUAGAGUACAAGAUCGCAGUUUAGGAGCAGAACUCUGGUUUGUUUCUUAGUUCUGCCAGAGGCUUCUUGUGAUGUCGUGGGGAAAAUUUUUCACUCCUUCAGUCCCCAAGUUCCACGUCGUAAAGUGAUCAUAACAAGGCUUUCUCUUUUUCCAUUCCUUGCAGUUCUUGUCCAUUUAUACUACAAGCUCUUACAGGAAGACAUCAUUUCUCCAAUUAGGUGUUUGUGUUUUUCCAGUC
This is a long non-coding RNA of Cuculus canorus (common cuckoo), 1800 nucleotides long. RefSeq lists it as uncharacterized. NCBI's taxonomy places the organism in Eukaryota, Metazoa, Chordata, Aves, Cuculiformes, Cuculidae. The transcript has 4 exons. The record is from RefSeq and is a predicted model, not a curated record.